AUACGGAGGAUCCGAGCGUUAUCCGGAUUUAUUGGGUUUAAAGGGAGCGUAGGCGGACGCUUAAGUCAGUUGUGAAAGUUUGCGGCUCAACCGUAAAAUUGCAGUUGAUACUGGGUGUCUUGAGUACAGUAGAGGCAGGCGGAAUUCGUGGUGUAGCGGAGAAAUGCUUAGAUAUCACGAAGAACUCCGAUUGCGAAGGCAGCCUGCUGGACUGUAACUGACGCUGAUGCUCGAAAGUGUGGGUAUCAAACAGGAUUAGAUACCCUGGUAGUCCACACAGUAAACGAUGAAUACUCGCUGUUUGCGAUAUACAGUAAGCGGCCAAGCGAAAGCGUUAAGUAUUCCACCUGGGGAGUACGCCGGCAACGGUGAAACUCAAAUGAAUUGACGGGG
Molecule: ribosomal RNA, 393 nt
Filed under: uncultured bacterium
Lineage: Bacteria
Description: partial 16S ribosomal RNA
Rfam family: Bacterial small subunit ribosomal RNA
Source: RNAcentral